This 237-nucleotide ribosomal RNA is filed under the name uncultured Lactobacillus sp. RNAcentral's name for it is "partial 16S ribosomal RNA". It matches the Rfam family "Bacterial small subunit ribosomal RNA", at positions 125 to 355 of the family's 1533-position model. The record is from RNAcentral. Lineage: Bacteria; Bacillati; Bacillota; Bacilli; Lactobacillales; Lactobacillaceae.
CCUGCCCAAGAGAUCGGGAUAACACCUGGAAACAGAUGCUAAUACCGGAUAACAACAGAUGAUGCCUAUCAACUGUUUAAAAGAUGGUUCUGCUAUCACUCUUGGAUGGACCUGCGGUGCAUUAGCUGGUUGGUAGGGUAACGGCCUACCAAGGCGAUGAUGCAUAGCCGAGUUGAGAGACUGAUCGGCCACACUGGGACUGAGACACGGCCCAAACUCCUACGGGAGGCAGCAGCU